CCUACGGGAGACUGCAGUGGGGAAUAUUGGGCAAUGGGCGCAAGCCUGACCCAGCAACGCCGCGUGAAGGAAGAAGGCUUUCGGGUUGUAAACUUCUUUUCUCAGGGACGAAGCAAGUGACGGUACCUGAGGAAUAAGCCACGGCUAACUACGUGCCAGCAGCCGCGGUAAUACGUAGGUGGCAAGCGUUAUCCGGAGUUACUGGGUGUAAAGGGCGUGUAGGCGGGACGGCAAGUCAGAGGUGAAAACCAUGGGCUCAACCUCUGGCCUGCAUUUGAAACUGUCGUUCUUGAGUACUGGGGAGGCAGUCGGAAUUCCUAGUGUAGCGGUGAAAUGCGUAGAUAUUAGGCGGAACACCAGUGGCGAAGGCGGUCUGCUGGACAGCAACUGUCGCUGAGGCGCGAAAGCGUG
This 411-nucleotide ribosomal RNA is filed under the name uncultured bacterium. RNAcentral describes it as "partial 16S ribosomal RNA". It matches the Rfam family "Bacterial small subunit ribosomal RNA", at positions 338 to 763 of the family's 1533-position model. The record is from RNAcentral.